Molecule: ribosomal RNA, 399 nt
Filed under: uncultured bacterium
Lineage: Bacteria
Description: bacterial SSU rRNA
Rfam family: Bacterial small subunit ribosomal RNA
Source: RNAcentral
AACGAACGUUAGCGGCGCGCCUAACACAUGCAAGUCGAGCGAGAAAGGGCUUCGGCCCCGGUAAAGCGGCGCACGGGUGAGUAACACGUGGAUAACCUACCCCUUGGUGGUGGAUAACCUUCCGAAAGGAGGGCUAAUACAGCGUAAGACCACGACUUCGAAAGAGGUUGAGGUAAAAGUGGGCCUCUGUACACAAGCUCACGCCAGGGGAUGGGUCCGCGGCCCAUCAGCUAGUUGGUAGGGUAACGGCCUACCAAGGCGAAGACGGGUAGCUGGUCUGAGAGGAUGAUCAGCCACACUGGAACUGAGACACGGUCCAGACUCCUACGGGAGGCAGCAGUGGGAAUCUUGCGCAAUGGACGAAAGUCUGACGCAGCGACGCCGCGUGAGUGAUGAAGG